GUCCUGGCCCUAAACGAUGAAUGCUUGGUGUGGCGGGUAUCGAUCCCUGCCGUGCCGAAGCUAACGCAUUAAGCAUUCCGCCUGGGAGUACGGUCGCAAGGCUGAACUCAAGGAAUUGACGGGGCCCGCACAAGCGGUGGAGCAUGUGGUUCAAUUCGACGCAACGCGAAGAACCUUACCCAGGCUUGAACAGCGAGUGACCACUCCUGAAAGGGAGCUUCCGCAAGGACACUCGUAGAGGUGCUGCAUGGCUGUCGU
RNAcentral lists this ribosomal RNA (258 nucleotides) under uncultured bacterium. Its description in RNAcentral is "partial 16S ribosomal RNA". It matches the Rfam family "Bacterial small subunit ribosomal RNA", at positions 793 to 1055 of the family's 1533-position model. The record is from RNAcentral.